UCCAGCGGGACGAUUCAAAAUCUCAUGAAGAAUCAUGGCGCCCCAAAGGAGUAUUGGAAUACGUACGAAAUACGUCAAAUAACCACUGCAAGUCGUUAUCAGAAGGCAAGACAAAGGCAAAACAAAGGCAGAGUAUACAUCUGACCUGCAGUCAGAGGAGGACAAUGGUACGCAGAAAAGAAAGAAAAGGUACACAGCUGAAUCGGAUAGUGACCUGGAGGUUUCCUCCCCACACAAAAAAGAAAGCAAUGGAGAGAGGUUCUCUGCCGCUGCCACCAUCACCACCAACAAUGCUGCAGAAGAGCAUGCCUGUGGCUGAUGAGACAACACAGCAGGCAUGUCAGAGAGAGAGACAUGCUCAGCAGUGGAGCGACAGCUCAUCCGGAUGUUGGAGGAGGUGCGCGAGGAUGUUGCACAGAACACGAGGAUCCUCAACAUGCUUUUAAAAGCAACUUCCACAGAAGGACCGGAGCAGGCCACCUUGCCAGAAGAUGUCACCAUUCCUCUAGCAAGAAUGGAGGACGUCGACCACCUGGAGCUCUUGCUAGAGGAUAGCAGU
RNAcentral lists this unclassified non-coding RNA (559 nucleotides) under Priapulus caudatus. Its description in RNAcentral is "uncharacterized LOC106812707, transcript variant X3". Lineage: Eukaryota; Metazoa; Priapulida; Priapulimorpha; Priapulimorphida; Priapulidae. The record is from RNAcentral.